Non-coding RNA from Delphinapterus leucas (beluga whale), 255 nucleotides. NCBI's taxonomy places the organism in Eukaryota, Metazoa, Chordata, Mammalia, Artiodactyla, Monodontidae. The record is from RefSeq and is a predicted model, not a curated record.
UUUGAACUCUUGACUCCAGGCUCUUUGAGAAAGAAGCAUAAUGGUGGAAAUUAAAGUUCUCUGAUGGGACCAAGUGGUAGAACAAGAUUUCUUACCUUUCCAGUCUGUCCUGGAAGGACCACCAAGAACAUUCAGUCAAUAGUACCAGCUUCUUUGGCUCCAAAUGUGGGAUACAUGAGGUGCUCCAAAUCCUCUAAAGAAGCAUCCAAGGGCUAUUCUGAACCAAACUGACAAAGUGGAACAACCUUGAGUUGC